This 180-nucleotide ribosomal RNA is filed under the name uncultured bacterium. RNAcentral's name for it is "partial 16S ribosomal RNA". It matches the Rfam family "Bacterial small subunit ribosomal RNA", at positions 359 to 531 of the family's 1533-position model. The record is from RNAcentral.
GAAUUUUGGACAAUGGGCGCAAGCCUGAUCCAGCAAUGCCGCGUGCAGGAUGAAGGCCUUCGGGUUGUAAACUGCUUUUGUACGGAACGAAAAGGCUCUCUCUAAUACAGGGGGCUCAUGACGGUACCGUAAGAAUAAGCACCGGCUAACUACGUGCCAGCAGCCGCGGUAAUACGUAGG